UUCUAGUAGCUAUACAGGAAGUGAUAGUAAGAGAACUCCUUUUAAGAAAAUAAUUUUCCUUCCUUUCUAAUCAUCAAAUUUCGUUACUUUUUGCCCAAAUAAAAAAGACUUUAUGGAAAACUAUAACUAUUUAACACACACAUUAAAUUCUCAUUUUCAGGACAUAUUAAAAAUGAGCCAGUGGCACAUGUCUGCAAUCCCAACACUUGGGAGGCUGAAGCAGGAGGAUCACCGUGAGUUUGAGGCCAGCCUGAACUACACAGCAAGCCCUUGUCUCAAAAAAAAACCUCAAAUAGAUAGACAGACAGACAGACAGAUAGAUGGAUGACAUAUUCUGACAAAGUCUUGCUGUGUAGUCCAGGCUGGUAUUGAGCUGAACCUUUUGGCUUGUCAAAUUAAUCAAAAGGAAGGACCACGCAUGCUGCAGGGGAUGGAAAGGGACUGGAAAAUCAUAAACUGGGCUUUGGGCUCUCACUACACAGGCAAAGAGCUGAGCUUAUAAUGAUGCCAUGCCCUUGAAUCUCCACAUGUGUAAACUAAGUGAGCCUCUCUUUGAGUUACCCAGCCUCAAAUGUAUAGCAAUGGAAAAUGGAUUUAUACAGUUUGCUGAAAGAAGAGUGUGGCAAAUCUGGUUCAAAUACAUUACUGCGGGUCCUUUCCAAAGUCUUUUUCCCAACAUCUAUGAAAUAUGAAUAUUGACUGUCUCCUGGGUGACUUGUGUGGAGAGAGUCUCUUUCAGCCAUACCUCUGAGACCUACGGCCAUUGCUAACCCUAGACUGAUGAAGUGAUUUACUACCAUUACCCUUAGAAAGCACCUCUUGUUUUUUCACAUCCACAACAGGAAAUACUUCUGGGUUGGUCUCAUUUAUAACAGCUGGUCAGCAUAAUGUUCUCGAAGAAGCUCGUGUUUCUCAAAGAUUACUGAAACUGUGUCAUUCUCUCAUAACUGAAUAAGUUUUUUGACUCUGCCAAGAGUAUUGAAUUGAUUAAAGUGAUUAGGUGCUUUCUCAUUAUCAUCUAUCUUUAGCUUUCUUUUAGCAGUGAUUGAUCUACACUUUGCAAUUGAAAGUUCAAUGUUUUCUGUGUAGAAGGAAGAAGGAAU
RNAcentral lists this long non-coding RNA (1103 nucleotides) under Heterocephalus glaber (naked mole-rat). Its description in RNAcentral is "lncRNA (ENSHGLG00000049415.1)". The record is from RNAcentral. Lineage: Eukaryota; Metazoa; Chordata; Mammalia; Rodentia; Bathyergidae.